GAUGAACGCUGGCGGCGUGCCUAAUACAUGCAAGUCGAGCGAACAGACGAGGAGCUUGCUCCUCUGACGUUAGCGGCGGACGGGUGAGUAACACGUGGAUAACCUACCUAUAAGACUGGGAUAACUUCGGGAAACCGGAGCUAAUACCGGAUAAUAUAUUGAACCGCAUGGUUCAAUAGUGAAAGACGGUUUUGCUGUCACUUAUAGAUGGAUCCGCGCCGCAUUAGCUAGUUGGUAAGGUAACGGCUUACCAAGGCAACGAUGCGUAGACGACCUGAUAGGGUGAUCGGCCACACUGGAACUGAGACACGGUCCAGACUCCUACGGGAGGCAGCAGUAGGGAAUCUUCCGCAAUGGGCGAAAGCUUGACGGAGCAACGCCGCGUGAGUGAUGAAGGUCUUCGGAUCGUAAAACUCUGUUAUUAGGGAAGAACAAAUGUGUAAGUAACUAUGCACGUCUUGACGGUACCUAAUCAGAAAGCCACGGCUAACUACGUG
This 497-nucleotide ribosomal RNA is filed under the name uncultured bacterium. RNAcentral describes it as "partial 16S ribosomal RNA". It matches the Rfam family "Bacterial small subunit ribosomal RNA", at positions 28 to 507 of the family's 1533-position model. The record is from RNAcentral.